RNAcentral lists this ribosomal RNA (614 nucleotides) under uncultured bacterium. RNAcentral's name for it is "bacterial SSU rRNA". It matches the Rfam family "Bacterial small subunit ribosomal RNA", at positions 338 to 946 of the family's 1533-position model. The record is from RNAcentral.
CCUACGGGAGGCAGCAGUGGGGAAUUUUGGACAAUGGGCGCAAGCCUGAUCCAGCAAUGCCGCGUGAGUGAAGAAGGCCUUCGGGUUGUAAAGCUCUUUUGUCAGGGAAGAAACGGUGAGCUCUAAUACAGUUUGCUAAUGACGGUACCUGAAGAAUAAGCACCGGCUAACUACGUGCCAGCAGCCGCGGUAAUACGUAGGGUGCAAGCGUUAAUCGGAAUUACUGGGCGUAAAGCGUGCGCAGGCGGUUUUGUAAGUCUGUCGUGAAAUCCCCGGGCUCAACCUGGGAAUGGCGAUGGAGACUGCAAGGCUAGAGUUUGGCAGAGGGGGGUAGAAUUCCACGUGUAGCAGUGAAAUGCGUAGAUAUGUGGAGGAACACCGAUGGCGAAGGCAGCCCCCUGGGUCAAAACUGACGCUCAUGCACGAAAGCGUGGGGAGCAAACAGGAUUAGAUACCCUGGUAGUCCACGCCCUAAACGAUGUCUACUAGUUGUCGGGUCUUAAUUGACUUGGUAACGCAGCUAACGCGUGAAGUAGACCGCCUGGGGAUAACGGUCGCAAGNUUAAACUUAAAGGAAUUGACGGNNGAGNGNGCGAGACGACGACGAGGAGAGG